This 29-nucleotide non-coding RNA is filed under the name Mus musculus (house mouse). The record is from RNAcentral. Lineage: Eukaryota; Metazoa; Chordata; Mammalia; Rodentia; Muridae.
UUCCAAAUAUUGUCAAGUUGACAACCAGA